AUGAACGCUAGCGGCAGGCCUAAUACAUGCAAGUCGAGGGGUAAAUAUGUAGCAAUAUAUAUGAGACCGGCGCACGGGUGCGUAACACGUAUGCAACCUACCUUUUACUGGGGAAUAGCUCCGAGAAAUCGGAAUUAAUACCCCAUAACACUGCAGAAUGGCAUCAUUCAGCAGUUAAAGCUCCGGCGGUAAAAGAUGGGCAUGCGGAACAUUAGCUAGUUGGUGAGGUAAUGGCUCACCAAGGCUACGAUGUUUAGGGGGUCUGAGAGGAUGAUCCCCCACACUGGUACUGAGACACGGACCAGACUCCUACGGGAGGCAGCAGUAGGGAAUAUUGGGCAAUGGACGAAAGUCUGACCCAGCCAUGCCGCGUGCAGGAUGACUGUCCUAUGGAUUGUAAACUGCUUUUAUAUGGGAAGAAACCCCUGGAUGCGUCCGGGGCUGACGGUACCAUAUGAAUAAGGAUCGGCUAACUUCGU
Molecule: ribosomal RNA, 479 nt
Filed under: uncultured bacterium
Lineage: Bacteria
Description: bacterial SSU rRNA
Rfam family: Bacterial small subunit ribosomal RNA
Source: RNAcentral